RNAcentral lists this ribosomal RNA (253 nucleotides) under uncultured bacterium. Its description in RNAcentral is "partial 16S ribosomal RNA". It matches the Rfam family "Bacterial small subunit ribosomal RNA", at positions 524 to 776 of the family's 1533-position model. The record is from RNAcentral.
GACAGAGGCCUCAAGCGUUGUCCGGAAUCAUUGGGCGUAAAGCGCGUGUAGGCGGUUCGGUAAGUCUGCUGUGAAAGUCCAGGGCUCAACCCUGGGAUGCCGGUGGAUACUGUCGGACUAGAGUACGGAAGAGGCGAGUGGAAUUCCCGGUGUAGCGGUGAAAUGCGCAGAUAUCGGGAGGAACACCAAUUGCGAAGGCAGCUCGCUGGGACGUCACUGACGCUGAGACGCGAAAGCAUGGGGAGCGAACAGG